CAGUCGCCGCGGGAAUACGGAGGGUGCAAGCGUUAAUCGGAAUUACUGGGCGUAAAGCGCACGCAGGCGGUUUGUUAAGUCAGAUGUGAAAUCCCCGAGCUUAACUUGGGAACUGCAUUUGAAACUGGCAAGCUAGAGUCUUGUAGAGGGGGGUAGAAUUCCAGGUGUAGCGGUGAAAUGCGUAGAGAUCUGGAGGAAUACCGAUGGCGAAGGCAGCCAUCUGGCCUAACACUGACGCUGAGGUACGAAAGCAUGGGGAGCAAACAGGAUUAGAUACCCCAGUAGUCCCUGUCUCUUAUAC
This 301-nucleotide ribosomal RNA is filed under the name uncultured bacterium. Its description in RNAcentral is "partial 16S ribosomal RNA". It matches the Rfam family "Bacterial small subunit ribosomal RNA", at positions 509 to 807 of the family's 1533-position model. The record is from RNAcentral.